AACGCACCUUGCGCUCCUUGGUAUUCCGAGGAGCAUGCCUGUUUGAGUGUCAUUAAAUUCUCAACCCCGAACCUUUUGGUUUCGGGGCUUGGACUUGGAGCGUGCUGGCCUUCCGGGGUCGGCUCCUCUCAAAUGCAUCAGCGGAAUCUAACCUUUGGUUUCCGGAAGUCGGUGUGAUAAUCAUGUUGCGCCGUCGUUCGACCUCAAAGUCCGCUUACAAUGGUCUUUGGACAACUUAUCAAAUUUGACCUCAAAUCAGGUAGGACUACCCGCUGAACUUAA
Molecule: unclassified non-coding RNA, 282 nt
Filed under: uncultured Piloderma
Lineage: Eukaryota; Fungi; Basidiomycota; Agaricomycetes; Atheliales; Atheliaceae
Description: sequence contains ITS2
Rfam family: 5.8S ribosomal RNA (bases 1-52)
Source: RNAcentral